Molecule: ribosomal RNA, 984 nt
Filed under: Triticum aestivum (bread wheat)
Lineage: Eukaryota; Viridiplantae; Streptophyta; Magnoliopsida; Poales; Poaceae
Description: partial small subunit ribosomal RNA
Source: RNAcentral
AUGCUCGUUCAAGGUACAGCACGCAGAUUGCACGCAUUGAAGGAUCCCACACUUUUGUUGAAGCUAGACAUAUCAAAGGCCUUCGACUCAGUCCAAUGGCCUUUCCUGCUGGAAGUAUUGGCUCAUAUGGGAUUUGGACCAAGGUGGAUAGCGUGGAUAUGUGGACUGCUCGCAACUUCAUCUACUAAGAUCAAUGUGAAUGGGAUACCCGGGGAAACGAUCUUCAAUUGCCAAGGACUGCGUCAGGGGAGCCCGCUGUCACCCAUGUUGUUCAUUUUAUGCAUGGAACCCCUACAUCGUCUACUUGAACUUGCAACCACCGCGGGUUUACUUUCCCCCUUGGCCAGGACAGGGUUGCGGCAUAGAGUGUCAAUGUACGCGGACGAUGUCAUGGUUUUCCUCAAGCCAACGGAAAAGGACCUCCGGGCGUGUCACUCGGUCCUAGAUCUGUUUGCAAACGCGUCCGGGCUCAGAAUCAACUUGCAGAAAAGCCUGGCCCUACCGAUCAGAUGCUCGCCGGAGGAUAUGAAGCUUGCUUUGGGGCUGUUGGGAUGUGAGCAAGGAACGUUCCCUUGUAGAUAUCUGGGGUUACCACUAUCAAUAAGGAAGCAAACUGCAGCACAAUUCCAGGCUUUGGUGGAUCAGAUGGCUGCAAGGCUGCCAUCAUGGAAGGCACGAUCAUUACCAAAGAGCAGCCGGUUGCUCCUUAUUCAGUCGGUGUUAUGUGCCAUCCCUGUGCACUCCAUGUUGGCCAUGGGUUUGCCAACAAAAACGCUAAAGGUGAUGAUCAAAAUCUGCAGAAACUUUCUAUGGUAUGGAAAUGAAGACGGUGGAGGUGGCAAGUGCGCAGUUGCUUGGGAAACUUUAUGUCGACCCAAGUGGGCAGGUGGGCUCGGCGUUACGAACCUCAGGUGGAUGAAUGUCGCACUCCAAGCGAAGUGGCUUUGGUUGCAACACGCUGACAGGUCUAGACCAUGGGCAUAA